This 253-nucleotide ribosomal RNA is filed under the name uncultured bacterium. RNAcentral describes it as "partial 16S ribosomal RNA". It matches the Rfam family "Bacterial small subunit ribosomal RNA", at positions 524 to 776 of the family's 1533-position model. The record is from RNAcentral.
UACGGAGGGUGCAAGCGUUGCUCGGAAUCAUUGGGCGUAAAGCGCACGUAGGCGGUCGAGUAAGUCGGGUGUGAAAGCCCUGGGCUUAACCCAGGAAGUGCAACCGAAACUACUCGACUUGAGUACUGAAGAGGAUCGCGGAAUUCCCGGUGUAGAGGUGAAAUUCGUAGAUAUCGGGAGGAACACCAGUGGCGAAGGCGGCGAUCUGGGCAGAUACUGACGCUGAGGUGCGAAAGCGUGGGGAGCAAACAGG